This 128-nucleotide microRNA precursor is filed under the name Podarcis lilfordi (Lilford's wall lizard). The record is from RNAcentral. Lineage: Eukaryota; Metazoa; Chordata; Lepidosauria; Squamata; Lacertidae.
AACUAAGUUUUUUCUUGGUAUAAGCUUUCGUGUACAUGCACACUUCUUCAGAUACCUGAAGAUACCUGAAGAUAUCUGAAGAAGUGUGCAUGCACAUGAAAGCUUAUACCAAGAACAAACUUAGUUGG